AACGAACGCUGGCGGCAUGCCUAACACAUGCAAGUCGAACGGUCCUUCGGGAUAGUGGCGAACGGGUGAGUAACGCGUGGGAACUUGCCCUGGAGUGGGGAACAACUGCUGGAAACGGCAGCUAAUACCGCAUACGCCCGCCGAGCAAUCGGUGGGGAAAGCUUUAUGCGCUCCAGGAGAGUCCCGCGUCCGAUUAGCUAGUUGGCGGGGUAGCGGCCCACCAAGGCUACGAUCGGUAGCUGGUCUGAGAGGAUGAUCAGCCACACUGGGACUGAGACACGGCCCAG
This 287-nucleotide ribosomal RNA is filed under the name uncultured bacterium. RNAcentral describes it as "partial 16S ribosomal RNA". It matches the Rfam family "Bacterial small subunit ribosomal RNA", at positions 29 to 334 of the family's 1533-position model. The record is from RNAcentral.